Molecule: ribosomal RNA, 252 nt
Filed under: uncultured bacterium
Lineage: Bacteria
Description: partial 16S ribosomal RNA
Rfam family: Bacterial small subunit ribosomal RNA
Source: RNAcentral
ACGGAGGGGGUUAGCGUUGUUCGGAAUUACUGGGCGUAAAGCGCGCGUAGGCGGACUAGUCAGUCAGGGGUGAAAUCCCGGGGCUCAACCCCGGAACUGCCUUUGAUACUGCUAGUCUUGAGUUCGAGAGAGGUGAGUGGAAUUCCGAGUGUAGAGGUGAAAUUCGUAGAUAUUCGGAAGAACACCAGUGGCGAAGGCGGCUCACUGGCUCGAUACUGACGCUGAGGUGCGAAAGCGUGGGGAGCGAACAGG